Molecule: ribosomal RNA, 241 nt
Filed under: uncultured bacterium
Lineage: Bacteria
Description: partial 16S ribosomal RNA
Rfam family: Bacterial small subunit ribosomal RNA
Source: RNAcentral
CCGGCGCACGGGUGAGUAACACGUAUCCAACCUGCCGUCUACUCUUGGCCAGCCUUCUGAAAGGAAGAUUAAUCCAGGAUGGGAUCAUGAGUUCACAUGUCCGCAUGAUUAAAGGUAUUUUCCGGUAGACGAUGGGGAUGCGUUCCAUUAGAUAGUAGGCGGGGUAACGGCCCACCUAGUCAACGAUGGAUAGGGGUUCUGAGAGGAAGGUCCCCCACAUUGGAACUGAGACACGGCCCAA